GAUGAACGCUGGCGGCGUGCUUAACACAUGCAAGUCGAACGAAGCUGCUUAACUGAUCUUCUUCGGAAUUGACGUUUUGUAGACUGAGUGGCGGACGGGUGAGUAACGCGUGGGUAACCUGCCCUGUACAGGGGGAUAACAGCCAGAAAUGACUGCUAAUACCGCAUAAGACCACAGCACCGCAUGGUGCAGGGGUAAAAACUCCGGUGGUACAGGAUGGACCCGCGUCUGAUUAGCUGGUUGGUGAGGUAACGGCUCACCAAGGCGACGAUCAGUAGCCGGCUUGAGAGAGUGAACGGCCACAUUGGGACUGAGACACGGCCCAAACUCCUACGGGAGGCAGCAGUGGGGAAUAUUGCACAAUGGGGGAAACCCUGAUGCAGCGACGCCGCGUGAGUGAAGAAGUAUCUCGGUAUGUAAAGCUCUAUCAGCAGGGAAGAAAAUGACGGUAC
RNAcentral lists this ribosomal RNA (452 nucleotides) under uncultured bacterium. RNAcentral describes it as "bacterial SSU rRNA". It matches the Rfam family "Bacterial small subunit ribosomal RNA", at positions 28 to 478 of the family's 1533-position model. The record is from RNAcentral.